Long non-coding RNA from Helianthus annuus (common sunflower), 2320 nucleotides. RefSeq lists it as uncharacterized. Lineage: Eukaryota; Viridiplantae; Streptophyta; Magnoliopsida; Asterales; Asteraceae. The transcript has 9 exons. The record is from RefSeq and is a predicted model, not a curated record.
ACACAGUACGUGUGUGGGGUUCUGUACGAUCGAACAAGGGCCAAUGGGGGGAAGAAACCCUAGCUUCAUCUAAUUCACAAGGAAAACUAUAAAGAUUCAAGGAAAUUGAAAGCAUAAUCAGGAAAUUGCAAGCUCUUAACUUGUCCAUUGAAAGGGCGUAAAGGAAGAGGGCUCAGGUUCUAAGAAGUCGGAAAGCUCACAAGACAAAGGUAAAUCCUCAUCUUAGACUAUUUGGCGAGUUGAAGCGAGCACGUGAUCACCACUCAACAUACCAAGCGCUUCCGCUAGUUGCUUUAAUGUUUUCGGUCAAAUAAUUGUGAAAGUUUGUCCAAACUUGAUGUUUUCUUUGGAUUUUUCAUUGCGUCUAGUCGUAAGGGUCAUGGAAUAGUUUGUAUGAAAGUUGUAUGAAACAGGGAUAUGCUCAUUGUACGAAUGGGUCAUGUCCGAUUUUUGUCAAAAAUAUGAAUUUAACUUGUUAUUUCAAGUCUUAAAAUUAUCCUUGUAAAUGGUUUUAUAAGAACUAAAAAUGCGGGUCUUAUAAUAAAGAAAGCUCUUUCGGAUCGAUACGUCAUGUUAGUGUCAUCCUGUAGCUAUGUGGUAGGUAAACAAAAAAAUAUAUGUCAUUAACUAUAUGUUUUAUAUUAUAUUUUAUGUUUGGUAUUUCAGUUUUAGGUAUUGUUGUCCGCGAUAGUAAGGCAUCAUCUUAGUUUGAAAUGUUACAAUAGGACGGCUCCUCAAUUGUGUUGUUAUGCUCUCGGUGUUCUUGAUAAAGAGACGCAGAGGUUGAAGACCAUUAAGAUUGAAGCCAAUACGUUAUUGCCUCGGUUAGAGCUGCCUUGCUGAGUUAACUUGGUUAUUUAAUGGUGUGUUUUUUUCAUGGACCAUAUUUGCACUAAGCGCAGCUGCAAGCUUUCGUGUACUACUGUCACUGUUGUCCCAUUCUUCGAUUUGUUGCUGCUCAUCUGUUGAGGUGCAAUAGUACAAACAUGAAAGGGAGUGUGAUUAAGUUAUUUGGAAACUGCAGUAAGAUAAAGUUACCAGCCUUGAGGACCUGAUGGAUGGUGUGUUGUCAGCAGAUGACUUUGUAAAUGAAGAAUUGAGAUCUUUAGGGAAAGAUAAAGUAGCCACCCUUGAGGACCUGAUGGAUGUUAAAGUAUGUAUGCCAAAAGGCACUGGUGAAUAUGACAAGUUUUUUGCUGAUGGGGUGUACACUUGUGCUGGUUGUGGAACACCACUUUCUAAAUCAACCACCAAGUUCAACUCCGGGUGUGGUUGGCCUACUUUCUAUGAAGGUCUUCCCAGAGCAAUCACCCGCACUGCCGACCCGGAUGGAAGGAGGACCAGAAUUACUUGCACUGCUUGUGGAGGACACUUAGGAAAUGUGUUUAAAGGUGAGGGGUUCAAGACACCUACAGAUGAAAGGCAUUGUGUUAAAGGCAUUGUGUUAAUAGUAUCUCCAUCAAGUUUACUUCUGAAGGCAUUUCAGCUUCUCUUUGAUAUGUUCUAAUCCGCAUUGUUGUGAGACAACAAGUAAUAAUUUCAAGCAGGAGCUCGGUGAAUUAGCAGUUAGUUACGGGAUUCGUCUGCAUGUAGACCUUUGUCUUGGUGGUUUUGUUUUGCCUUUUGCACGUAAACUCUGGUACCCAAUUCCACCAUUUGAUUUUACAGUUCAAGGAGUGACCUCUAUAUCAGCAAAUGUUCAUAAGUACGCGACAUAUUCAUAAAUUGCCUACAACUUUUUCAGGUUUUGCCAUUACAUCUUAUUGGUUAUAACAGUUAUGAUUGACUUUUGUGUGGAUUGAUUAGGAUAAUUAAAUUUGUAAAUGGUGCUAGAAGUUUAAUUUUGCUUAGAAGAGCGAGGGGAGAAGCAUGGAGAUUCUCUAACUUGUGUUUCGAUUUUCUCUAAUAUGCAACUUUGAAUAAUAUUGUAAUACAUGGUAACAUGCUUUUAUUUUCAUGUAUCUAUUAUUUUCCAAAGGUUGGAUAUAAAGUUCGGCUUGAAGGAAUGAAAGGAAGGGAUACCCAUCUUCUAUUUUUCACUACUGGCAUUUUGCUUAGAAGAUUACUUCUAGAUAGGAGCUUGCAAGGUGUAACUCGUGCUAUGAGAUCCAUGAACGAGGGACAAAUGAAGGUAACCAGAAGAAACAUGUAAAAGUUAAUGUCAAGAUGGGUUGGCUGGUCGAUAUGUCAAAAUGGGUUCAAGUUGAAUCGGGUCAUUUAUAUAAAUUACCAAAAUGCCACUGUGUGCUCAUAUCUGAAACAACACAGUUGCCUUUCAGUUUAACAACCCUCUACCACCACCUCAGAUUCAGUUCCACCA